ACAAUUCGCUAUGCCACCAAACACGCAGUAUAAUCAAUUUGGAGAGCCAACAGGUUUCACAGGAUACAACAUGAAUCCGUAUCAAUAUCCUUAUGUUCCUGCAGGACAGGUGAGAGAUCAGAGAUUGCUACGUUUGUGUUCCUCAGCAACUAAAGAGGCAAGAAAAAAACGGAUGGCUAGACAGCGGAGGUUCUUGUCUCACCACCACAGACAUAACAACAACAACAACAAUAAUCAGCAGAACCAGACCCAAAUCGGAGAGACCUGUGCCGCCGUGGCUCCACAACUUAACCCUGUGGCCACAACCGCCACCGGAGGGACCUGGAUGUAUUGGCCUAAUGUCCCGGCUGCGCCGCCGCCUCAAUUACCACCGGCGAUGGAGACUCAGUUACCAACCAUGGACCGAGCUG
This 410-nucleotide long non-coding RNA is filed under the name Arabidopsis lyrata. RNAcentral's name for it is "long non-coding RNA (ALYR_LNC002414)". Lineage: Eukaryota; Viridiplantae; Streptophyta; Magnoliopsida; Brassicales; Brassicaceae. The record is from RNAcentral.